AUGGGAAAAGCUAUAGAGAAAGUAUUCACGGAAUCAUAUCACGGGUUGUGCACCUUUCACAUUAUGAUGAAUGAUGUCAAACAUUUAUCUCCAGUCAAGGAUGAUGAGAAAGAUGAAGGGGAGGUGGAAGAGGAAGAUGAAGGGGAGGAGGAAUCUCAUAUUCUCUCUGAUUUUAGUGCUUGUAUGUAUGGCUAUGAGGACAAGGCAGCAUUUGAAGAAGCAUUUGACAACAUGAGACAUAAAGUGCAUAAGCAAACUUGGUUAGAUAGCAUCUACAAGGUGAAAGAAAAAUGGGCUGAAUGUUAUAUGAGAGAUGUCUUCAGUUUGGGAGUGAGAAGUACACAACUAAGUGAGAGUUUCAACAAUGCAUUGAAGAACCAUUUGAAAUCUGAUUUCCAUAUUAUCCGAUUCUUGAAGCAUUUUGAGAGAACGGUUGAAGUAAAAAGGAGAAAGGAAUUGGAAUCUGAAUAUGAGGCAAGAAAAAAAUUGCCAAGAAUCAAGAUGUGCACACCCAUGUUGGUGCAAGCAAGCAAAGUGUACACUCCAACUAUUUUUGAAGCUUUCCAAAGUGAAUAUGAAAGAUCCAUGGCUGCUUGCACUAGAGUGUUGGAGGAAAAUAACCAAUUUGCUGUUGCUAUUGGGAGGUUGCAUGGUGAUUUGACCUAUGAGGAGGAGGAGGAGCGCGUAGUGAUUGGUGAUCCGUUGAACCAAACCGCUUCAUGUAGUUGUCAAAUGUUCGAUAGGGCUGGAAUAUUGUGUGGGCAUAGUUUGAAAGUUCUUGAUUUGAUGAAUGUAAAGACAUUGCCAACACAUUAUCUCCUAAAGAGAUGGACUAGAGAAGCACGCAACGGAAGUAUACAUGACAGGCAAGGAAGGAAAGUGGUAGAAAAUCCAAAAUUGGAAGCUCAACUUUGGUACAAAGAUAUGUCUCAUAAAUUUCAUGAUAUGACAUAUAAAAUAGCCAACUCUCUCGAAUGUCGUUUGAUGCUAGAAGAUGCACUUGCUUGUCUUUGGCCACAACUAGAGGAUAAACUCAAUGCAUCAGCCACCGGUGCUACUGAUGCAUGUUCCAAUGACCAAGAAAAUGUUGUUCCAAAUGUGCAGCAAGCCAAUGACUUGCUUAGUUCUGCACGACUGAAGAAAAAGGAGGUUUCAUCUAAAAAUUUGAGGAGAAAGCCAACCUGGUUUGAUAAGUUACGCAAAGGACGAAAGCCAACUAAAUCAGCGGCAAUGACAAAAAAGGAGCAAAGCAACAACAACAACAAAAGAAAAAAAAUAGUGUGCAGCCUCAAGUGCAAGUCGAGAACAAUGGCAAUAGUCUGCAACCUGAAGUGCAAGUGCGGGUGA
Molecule: ribosomal RNA, 1347 nt
Filed under: Triticum aestivum (bread wheat)
Lineage: Eukaryota; Viridiplantae; Streptophyta; Magnoliopsida; Poales; Poaceae
Description: partial small subunit ribosomal RNA
Source: RNAcentral